RNAcentral lists this ribosomal RNA (617 nucleotides) under Pseudaspius hakonensis (big-scaled redfin). Its description in RNAcentral is "partial 16S ribosomal RNA". It matches the Rfam family "Bacterial large subunit ribosomal RNA", at positions 1797 to 2619 of the family's 2925-position model. Lineage: Eukaryota; Metazoa; Chordata; Actinopteri; Cypriniformes; Leuciscidae. The record is from RNAcentral.
CGCCUCUUUAUCAAAAACAUCGCCUCCUGCAACUAGACUGAGUAUAGGAGGUCCAGCCUGCCCAGUGACUACGGGUUCAACGGCCGCGGUAUCUUGACCGUGCAAAGGUAGCGCAAUCACUUGUCUCUUAAAUAGAGACCUGUAUGAAUGGCUAGACGAGGGCUUAACUGUCUCCCCCCUCCAGUCAGUGAAAUUGAUCUAUCCGUGCAGAAGCGGGUAUAAAUAUACAAGACGAGAAGACCCUUUGGAGCUUAAGGUACAAAAUUCAACCACGUUAAACAACCCCAUAAAAGGCAAGAACUUAGUAGCAAUGAAAUUUUACCUUCGGUUGGGGCGACCGCGGAGGAAAAACAAGCCUCCGAGUGGACUGGGCCAAACCCCUGAAGCCAAAAGAAACAUCUAGAAGCCGCAGAAUAUCUGACCAAAAAUGAUCCGGCUAAAAGCCGAUCAACGAACCAAGUUACCCAAGGGAUAACAGCGCAAUCCCCUCCCAGAGCCCGUAUCGACGAGGGGGUUUACGACCUCGAUGUUGGAUCAGGACAUCCUAAUGGUGCAGCCGCUAUUAAGGGUUCGUUUGUUCAACGAUUAAAGUCCUACGUGAUCUGAGUUCAGACCGG